GUUGGAAAGAGAUAAGAGAGAGACCUUGGGGAACAAUUUUAAAGUGGCUCAAUAGCGAUCGCAGAGCCAAACUCAUACCUACAUCAAUGUGGUGCAGAGAAUCUCUAAGAAUUUUUAAUGCUGAAUUGGAGCAAAGAAACUUCAAGGAGGAAGCAAAGUGAAGAACACAGAUUUCACAGAUGGGAUGCCUGGCUCAAAUUCCAGCUUGACCGCUGGUAGCUGUGUGACCCUCGGCAAGUUACUUGACCUCUCUCUACUCAGUGUCCUCAUCUGUCAGAUUUUGAUAUCUGACUGAUGCUGUCUUCGUGGAAUGAGUUAGGAAAGAGUCCCUCCACGUCAACUGUUUGGAAUAUAUUCAGCAGGAUUGGUAUCAUUGCAUGUCUGGCAGAAUUUGACUAGGAAUCCAUCUGGUCCAGGACUUUUUUGUUGAAAUGCGUAAAUGGCGACAGUAGAGCCAGCCUUCAUGAAUCCAGAAAUGUGAGCCACAUUUUGAGGAUAGCAGAGUCACUGCAGAAGCCUGGAUCCUUGCAUAACCUUGUCGAGUGGGAAAAUCUACCCAUACUUGACCAACCACCUAACUGGGGGCUCUACAUCUGAAAGAAAUGAUUUUUUAUCUUAUUUAAGCCACUGUAGUUAGGAGUCAGUUUAUUACAGGACAUUGCCUGGUGUUCCAAC
This 675-nucleotide long non-coding RNA is filed under the name Pan troglodytes (chimpanzee). Its description in RNAcentral is "long non-coding RNA NONPTRT016830". Lineage: Eukaryota; Metazoa; Chordata; Mammalia; Primates; Hominidae. The record is from RNAcentral.